This 472-nucleotide ribosomal RNA is filed under the name uncultured bacterium. RNAcentral's name for it is "bacterial SSU rRNA". It matches the Rfam family "Bacterial small subunit ribosomal RNA", at positions 355 to 825 of the family's 1533-position model. The record is from RNAcentral.
UGGGGAAUAUUGGACAAUGGGCGCAAGCCUGAUCCAGCGACGCCGCGUGUGUGAAGAAGGCCUGCGGGUUGUAAAGCACUUUCGAUGGGAACGAAAUGUGCCGGGUUAAUACCCCGGUAAGCUGACGUUACUCAAUGAAGAAGCACCGGCUAACUCUGUGCCAGCAGCCGCGGUAAUACAGAGGGUGCGAGCGUUAAUCGGAAUUACUGGGCGUAAAGCGCACGUAGGUGGCGACGUAAGUCGGGUGUGAAAGCCCCGGGCUCAACCUGGGAAUUGCAUUCGAGACUGCAUUGCUGGAGUACGGAAGAGGAGGGCGGAAUUCCCGGUGUAGAGGUGAAAUUCGUAGAUAUUAGGAAGAACACCAGUGGCGAAGGCGGCCAACUGGCUCGAUACUGACGCUGAGGUGCGAAAGCGUGGGGAGCAAACAGGAUUAGAUACCCCCGUAGUCCCUGAGCGGGCUGGCAAGGCGCAU